GUGAAUCAUCGAAUUUUUGAACGCAAAUUGCACUCUUUGGUAUUCCGGGGGGCAUGCCUGUUUGAGGGUCGUUAGAAUAAAAAAUCGAGGCGUCGCUUUUUUUGUUCAGGGUGAUUGUGUCGGAAUAGAGUCGUCUUACAAUUGUUAAUAUAUGUUAAUGUGGGUUAUAAUUGAUCCAUAU
This 181-nucleotide unclassified non-coding RNA is filed under the name Glomeraceae sp. RNAcentral's name for it is "partial contains 5.8S ribosomal RNA and internal transcribed spacer 2". The stretch from base 1 to 71 matches the Rfam family "5.8S ribosomal RNA", at positions 84 to 154 of the family's 154-position model. The record is from RNAcentral. Lineage: Eukaryota; Fungi; Glomeromycota; Glomeromycetes; Glomerales; Glomeraceae.